AUGUGAAAAAAUAGAAGUAAAGAACGGUCAAAGGGCAAAAAUAUAAGAGUUAGGGAAUACACCAAUUAAUUAUUAAGAGUUGGCUACAUUUAAUGAGAAUACAAUACCUCAAAAAUGAUAGUUAGCGGAAUUAACAACAAUAAAUUAAUUGUUUGUACAUAUGUUUUUUAGAUGCAAUUACUAGUAACCUGGGGCGAAUCUAUGUGUAAAGGAGGGAUGCCACCGUACCAGUGAACUUGUUGAAACUUCGUAUGUUUUAUAUAUAUAUAUAUAUAUAUAUAUUAUUCUUAUAUAUAAACCAACAAGGGUAGGACUAACACAAUGACAAGUUAUACGAAAAGCAUUCUAAAUAGUACUCUAAAAUUGCUACUUUCUCCCCUUCACAAAAACAUGUGGCAACACCAUCGUUCUUCAGGGAAACACCUGUCAGCACAAUUGUUAAGCACGUGUGCUUUUCCAUUCCCAUUCCAUCACAAUAUCAUUCAAACCCUUUCUCCACAAGCUCUUCUCUCAACUCUCAAGACUCUGCAUCCCAGCCUCUUGCAGCUCCAUAGUCCAAAUUGUGGACAUGAGUCGAGAGCGAGAAAGUUUGGAGAAGAAAAUCAGAUUUCAUAUUUUGAUUUUGGAAGAUACAGAGAGGAUACCUGCACUACAAGUUUUGCCAUCAAAGAAAUUCAACGAUUGAAUGACUGGAAUCAGUUUGAAGUCAUAAUGACCAACUUCAACCUAUUACUCUGAACUUGAUCUUUGCUAAGAGCCUUGGUGAAGAUAUCUUCAAUUGGUUCCUCCGUUGGACAAUAUGAUUCUUUCCCAUACUGACUGCACUAGUAUUGUCACACAUAAGAGGUAUGGCCUUGAUGAUUACCCCAAAAUCCUCUAAGUGUUGUUUGAUCCAUAACAAUUGUGAACAACAUAUAACAGUUGCUACAUAUUCAGCUUCAGCUGUUGAAAGAGCUACUGAAUUUUUUUUCUUAAUUCCCCAUGAGAUAAGUGAAGAUAUAAGGAAAUGCGACAUCCCUGUAGUGCUUUCCUGCCAACUUGAUAAUUAGCAAAAUCAACAUCUGCAAAACCAACAAGAUCAAAAGUGUCACCUGCUGGGUAGAAAAGAACCAGGUCCCCUGUCUUCUUUAAAUAUCUUAGAAUCCAUUUUGCAACCUUCAAAUGUGAAUCACAAGGACAUGACACACAUUCCAACACUAUAUACGAUAUCAGGUCUACUAGCAGUCAGAUACAAUAAGGAUCCAAUGAUCCCCUAUAGAUGGUUUGAUUCACAAGUGAAUCAGAUUCAUCAGCUAUAAGCUUGUAGUUUGUUCCAAUAAGAGUAUCAAUAGGUUUAGAAUCAAACAUAUUGAAUUUCUUCAACAGCUCCUUAAUGUACUUCUCCUGACUGAUUGAGAUUCCAUUUGAUGAUUGUUUAUUUGUAGCCCCAGAAAGAAGGUAAAUUCAUCCAUCAUGCUCAUCUCAAACUUCUUUCCCAUUAAUGAUGAAAAUUCUUCACACAAAUGCUCCGAUGUAGCUCGAAAGAUAAUGUCAUCCACAUAUGCUUGUAUAAUAAGCAAAUCCUGUUUUGCUUUGAAUAAGAACAAGGUAUUGUCUAUUUUCCCUAUUUUGAACCCAUUUUUCGACAGGAACUUCGACAAUAUUUCAUACAAAGCUUUGGGAGCUUGUUUUAAACGAUACAGAGCCUUAUUCAAUUUGAACACAUGAUCUGGUAACUCAGCAUCCUCAAACCCAGGAGGUUGUUUAACAAACACCUCCUCUUUUAAGUCUCCAUUUAGGAAAGCACUCUUGACAUCCAUUUGAUAUAGCUUGAAUCUGAUGAAUGCUGCAAAGGCUAUGAGAACUCUGAUAGCCUCCAUCCUUGAAACAGGAGCAAAGGUUUCAUAAUAUUCUAUACCUUCUACUGAUUGUAUCCUUGAACAACUAAUCUAGAUUUUUUUCUAGUAAUCACACCAUUUCCAUCAAGCUUGUUUCUGAAAACCCAUCUGGUUCCUACAACAGUUCUGUCAACAGGUCGAGGAACCAGGUACCACACCUUACUUAUUUCAAACUGAUGGAGUUCUUCUUGCAUUGAAUUAAUCCAAUCUGCAUCACCUAAUGCCUCUUUCACAUUCUUAGGCCCAAUUGAUGAUAUAAACGCUUUGAAUGCAACUAGAUUUCUUGUUUUUGAUCUAGAGUGAGUUUCAGAGUUCAGAGGUGAGAUGAGAUUAUCAAGUGGAUGUGAUGAACUGUGUUUCCGUCCUGGUCUCAAGGUCAACUAGUUUAGCUGAUUAGUAUGCUCUUCUUCUUAGAGGAAUUCUUCAUUUUCUGGAGAGUUUGAGAUAUUCUGAUUUGAGUUCAGAAUGGUACCAGGUUCCUCUUCAUAUUUUUCAUCUUCAUCAGCCUUUUCAGAUGAGCUUUGAUUAGCAUUGUCAAUCUCCAAUUGGUAUUUACAUUAGCUUUACUUCCUUCAAUUUUCUGAGGAUUAAACAACUCAAUUAACUCAUCUUCAUCAUUUGAUGCAUCACCUUUCAGGUUUCCAUCUUCAUCAAACACAACAUGAAUACUUUAUUCAAUACAUUGAGUUCUCUUGUUGAAAACUCUAUAUGUUUUACUUGAUGAAGAAUAUCCUACAAACACUCCAUCACUUCUACGAUCAAACUUUCCUAGAUCAUCCAUUCCAUUGUUCAAAACAAAACAUUUGCAUCCAAAUGCCUAAGGUAGCUCAACAUAGGUUUUCUGUUGUUGAGUAAUUCAUAGGGGGUCUUAUUCAGUGAAGACCUUAUCAAACAUCUGUUAGUAACAUGACAUGUUGUGUUGAUUGCUUCAGCCCAAAAACAUUGAGGAAGAUUUGACUCAAUAAUCAUGGUCCUUGCAAUAUUUUCCAAGGUUCUGUUUUUCCUUUCGACUUCUCCAUUAUUUUGGGGAGUUCUUAGAGCAGAAAAAUUGGGACUAGUGCCAUUUUUCAUACAGAAUUGAUCAAUUUUUUAGUUUUCAAACUCAGUUCCAUGAUCAGACCUAAUUCCAGCAAUCACUUGAUUCAACUUUGUUUGAAUCAUUUUGAAAAACACUACCAACUCUUCCAGUGUUUCUGCUUUUGAUCUUAAGAACCUUGUCCAUGUGUACCUUAAGUAGUCAUCAACUAUCACCAGAUUGUAUUUCUUUCCACUUCUACUUUGAACCUUCAAAGGUCCACAUAAAUCCAUAUGUAGCAGCUCUAAUAUUAUCGAGGAGGUUACUUGAUUCUUUGACUUGAAGGAUGAUCUGAUUUCUUUGCCUUUUGACACAGGCUUCACAAAUUUUACUUUCACAAAAUUUCAACUUUGGCAGACCUACGACCAGGUUCUUAGAAAUCAGUUUAUUCAAUAAAAAUGAGGUUACAUGCCCUAGUCUUCGAUGCCACAGAUCAGCAUUUUCAUUUUGAGCACUAAGACAUGUCAGAUCAUGUCCAUGAGAUGUUUAUAAGUUAGCCACAUACAUGUUUUUACUUCUAUAAGCAGUAAGAAUCACUUUCUUUGUAGUUAGAUUAACUACAGUGCACUUCUCAGAUGUAAAUUUCACUUCAUGUCUCUUGUCACAAAUUUCAGACACACUCAAAAGACUAUCCUUCAACCCACUGACAUGACACACGUUGUCAAUGGAUUCCCCAAGCGAUUUUCCCACUUUACCAACACCUAAAAUAUACCUCUUCUUUCCAUCACCACAAGAGACACCUCCUCCCUGAAGUGCCUUGAGUGAGAGGAAAUUUUUGAUAUCACCAGUCAUAUGUUUAGAGCAUCCACUGUCCAUGUACCAACAUUGAAUGCUGCUCCUCUCACUCACCUGCAGCAAGAAUCACUUGUUAGGUAUGGGAAUCCAUUUCAAUUUGAGUUCCCAAAAAGCAGACAAAGGAGUGAUCAAAGUGUUUCUAGCCUAAUGAGGUAGUUUCAGAUUCUUUUUGACAAAGGAUUUUUGAGCUGGAUCAAGUCCUUUCUUUGAAAAUCUUUUGGUUGACAAUUGUUUUGUGGGACAAUGCCUCUCUUUUGAAACCCUUUGCUUUUCUGUGUACUUUGAAAGUCUCACAUGUGACUUUCUCCAGGCAGUACACUCUUCUUUUAAAUGCCCAUUUUUACCAUAAUGAAGGCACAUCAAAUUAUCAGACACAAAUACAUAUUUGUUGUGAGGAUUGAAAGAAGGAGUAAUAUUCAAACUUUCUAAACCCUUCUUGUUGAAAUUACUUUGAUUUGUUACGUUUGAAAACGGCUUAGAAUACUUUGUACACUUAAGAGAUUUUCCAAUUUCAUCUUUAAGUUUGACAAUAUCCUUUUCUAAGUAGUUUCUUCUUUCCAAAGCCAAACCAAGAUUAGUCUUAGAGGUUUUCAGUUUUUCUUCAAGAUCAACUUGUAAACAAUUAGACUUUCCUUUUUGCUUUUUAGCUUUCUCAUUUAUCAGAUGCAACUGUUUUUAUGUUUUAUUUUGUCAGAUUCCAGAACAGCCAUUUUAUCUUCAAUUUUCAGCAUUUUCUAAUCCAUUUUAUCUCUAUUUUCAUUUAUGCUUUCAAGCUCAGCAUCAUAAUAUCUCUUUCAGAAGUUAACUCAAUAACUGAAUCAAUCCUAACAUUUGCUAAUGUUCUCAAUUUUUUAAGAGAAUAGGUAUUCAGAUCAUGUUUCAUAUCAAGAAGAGUUACUUUAUCCUCAUCAUCUUCAUUUUUUGAAUGAGCCAUGAAAGCAAACAUCUCAUUGAAUAUGGUUUCCUCUUCAUGAACCACCACCAUUGACACAUCAUUUGGUUCAUCAAGAUCUCUAAGUCACUUAAAGAGUCUCCCCAUGCAGAAGAGCUUUCUUGAACACAUAGUCAGCAACAACUUUCCGAUCAUUCUUAUUGAGUACUAGGUCCCUUCGAUUUUCUUUAUCACCUCUUGAUUUUUGAUAUUCUUUGUUUCAGCUUUGAGUAAUGGACACUCUCUUAUAAAGUGUCCAGCUUUUUCACUCUUGUAACAAGUAUCAUUUUGAGUGGCAGUUCGAGGAACAUUUGCUCCCUUUCUAAAACCUCUAUUUUUCCUCACAAUCUUAUGAAAUCUCUUGAUGAGGUAAGCCAUAUCAUCUUCAUCACUGGAGUCCUCUUCAGAUCUGUAUUUCAGUAUCAAGGACUUAUCUUUCUUGACUUUCUUAUUUGACUGAUCAUGACUUCGGUUCAUCUCAUCAGUCUUUAGAUUUCCAAUGAGAGCAUCCAUUGUUAACAGGUCCUUUGCUUCAGUAAUAGCAUCAACCUUACUUUCUCAAGACUUGGGAAUGAUUCGAAGAACUUUACUGACUUGCUUACUUAUACUGAUAGGUUCUCCAAGACUUCUCAACUCAUUUGUGAUGGAUGACAGUUUAGUGAACAUUUCAUGAAUAGUUUCACCUUCUCUCAUUUAGAAAUUUUCAUACUGAGAUUUAAGCAUAUCAAUCUUUGACUCUUUUACUUGUUCAGAUCCUUAUGGACUACUUUUAAGCAAUCCCAUAUCUCUUUUGCAGAUUCACAAGCUGAGACAAGAUUGUACUCAUCAGAUCCUAUACCACAGACAAGAAGUUUCUUGCUUUUUACCCCUUUUCAAUCUUCUUCCUAUCAUCUUCAUCAUAUUUUUGCCUUGUCUUUGGAACAAGCCGAGUGUUUUCACCAUCUUUCUCUUCAAUAAUAGGGAUGAAUGGUCCAUCUAAAACAUGUCCCAUAGUUCAUUGCCUUCAUCCAUAAGGAAGUCGUGCAUUCUCACUUUCCACCAACUAUAAAAGUGGCCAUUGAAAUGAGGGGGUCUAGUUGAAGACUGACCCUCUUCCAGAUUAAGUGGAGCAUCCAUUCUAGAACGGGAAUCACUCUCUUGGUGACCAGAUAGAGAAUACUGACUCUGAUACCACUUGUUAGAAUCUGUGCGUCCACUAUCAGUCAAUGGACCAGGUCCCUUAACACAUAAAUAAAGAUAUAACAGAAAUUAAAUGCAGUUUAACAACAGAGGAGUUUUACGUGGAAACCCCCUUUCUCAAGGGAGUAAAACCACGACCUGUCUCACAGGAUUUUCACAACCGUUUCACUAAUCUUCACAAGAAAAAGAAAACCGGUUACACAAAUGUGAGAAAAAGUUUUUAAUCUCACCAAUAAGCAAUAACUCUAUUGCUUGAUGAGCCUAAGUAGAUGUUAUUCUACCCACUAAGCUAUCACUCUAGACAACUUAGAAUUUUCUAAGCAACACAACAGUUACCCACUAAAUUAGUUCAACUAACUAACUUAGAAUUUCAAAUCAAACCACACUAAUUACUUUAUAGAUUUAGGAUCAGUUUACAAUGUAAGACCGAAUGAAUAUAUUCUCAAACAACUACACAAUAUACGUCUGAGUUUAGGUUGUUCUUGAAUGAUUCUUCUCCUUGAUUUUCUUACCUUUGCAAGAGUUCUUGAAUGUGUUUUUUCAAGUUGCAAAACUAAAGAGCAAUGUAUGUAAAGAUGACAUUGUAUAGACAAGUCACAUUCCUUAAACCCCUGCCAUUGGUUGGAAAGGUCUGACGUUUCUGACGCAGUUGGAAACUGUGCACCAACUUUCUGUACCUUCUCCAUCUGGCAGUCAAUGAACUAUUCAAGUUGAGAACCGGGUAUCUUCACAAGGUCCCUGAGUUUGUUACAUCAUCAAAACUACAAAUAACAUGUCUGUUUGAAUACUGUAUAAUUGCAGAAAGUAUCUUCCUCAUUUUGAUGUUGCUGGAAAAGAAAAGUCUUUAUGGAUUCUCAAUAUCUACAACUUCUCUUGGUAUGAAGGACCAAUUAUUAGGAACUAGGAAGGUGGGAGUAACAAAGAUGAUAUGCAGGUUUUCCAUGUUUUUUGUCACCUCAACGCUCCAAAUUCAAAAUGAAGUGGAUAUGUCACUUUCAGUUAAGUUUGUUGAAUCAAACUUUUGUUUAAGUAAAUAUUCACUAUUAUGAAACUAACUUCACUAUGUGUACAUGUAUAAAUACAUAUACUCUUGGAAGAAUUUUUCUCGUUCCGUAUAUUAAUUCUGAAUGACAUUGUCCUGAUUCACAAGUACAAGAACAGAAGUCAGAAAGUGAUUUUGUGAUGACUAAUGAGGCAUUAGAGAGGGAAAAGGCGUGGUAUAUGGGGGUGAUGAUUCAACUUUGCGAACGGGGUGAUCUUUAGUUAUUUCAUACUGGAUGUGGUAUUGAUUCGUUUGAUGUGGAAGCUAUUGAAGUUCUCAAUGCUCAGAAAACUGAUUUUGGGAUGUAUUGAUGUUUGACUAUAUUUCAUGUUUCUGUAUGAGUUCUCCUUCAUUGUUGUGUGUUUGUAAUAAAUAAAUUCCCUUUCUCGGUUGAUUUUAUUUGUCGCUAUAAGGAAGAUGAAGUUUGACAUCAAUAAAGCGAGAGACUUUCUUCUAAAAUGCUACAUCACAUUUUUCAUGCUUUUGGUUCUGUGGAAGGUGAAAGGGCCAGGGACAGAACUCCGGACACAUAACUCCAGGGGGAGCACUCUCUGGGGACAUAACAAUAUUCUGUCACCGCGAGCUUAGGACAUUGGUUUGUGGCAGUCGUAAGGACAAGUUUGCGCGCAGGACACUUUGAUCUUCGAGCCUUGUAUGAUAGUGAGGGUUAGUGAGAUUCGGGCUGCCAAGGGUCCCACAUUCUGGUGAGUUGAAGAUUGCUUUUGAAAAUUUAUACAUUUCAUUCGAGAUUCUUCUCAUGCAUUUGUGCAUAUUCAAUGAAAGUUGUAAUUGCUAAAUUCGUUGAAAAGAUUCACGGUUAAAGGCAGAACCGAAAUUCUUACUCUUAUGCCUCAUGGUUGGUGAGGAAAUAGAAAUCAUGAGAAACGGUGAAAUUAGAUUGUUUAUCUGUUAAUCUAUAUACGUCAAUUUUCUUCGUU
Solanum lycopersicum (tomato) is the source of this 7837-nucleotide long non-coding RNA. RefSeq lists it as uncharacterized. The record is from RefSeq and is a predicted model, not a curated record. Lineage: Eukaryota; Viridiplantae; Streptophyta; Magnoliopsida; Solanales; Solanaceae.